Molecule: long non-coding RNA, 222 nt
Filed under: Elaeis guineensis (African oil palm)
Lineage: Eukaryota; Viridiplantae; Streptophyta; Magnoliopsida; Arecales; Arecaceae
Description: long non-coding RNA (EGUI_LNC045916)
Source: RNAcentral
UGGCAGUUGCUCCCUGACCUCCAUCAGCACUUGAGUUUUCAUUGCAUUGAGAGGGGCGUAGCUGUGGAAUCUUCCUAGAGGAGAGCCCCAUCAAACUCUAUGGUCCAGACUUCUCUGCCUACGAGCCCAGGGAGGAGUCUGCACACACUUGUGUCCAGAGGGAGUUCGAGAAUGUGAUCGAGCUUCACUCGGCCCUUUUUCAACUGCGAGCUUACUGGAGUC